GAUGAACGCUGGCGGCGUGCCUAAUACAUGCAAGUCGAGCGAACGGACGAGAAGCUUGCUUCUCUGAUGUUAGCGGCGGACGGGUGAGUAACACGUGGAUAACCUACCUAUAAGACUGGGAUAACUUCGGGAAACCGGAGCUACUACCGGAUAAUAUUUUGAACCGCAUUGUUCAAAAGUGAAAGACGGUCUUGCUGUCACUUAUAGCUGGAUCCGCGCUGCAUUAUCUAGUUGGUAAGGUAACGGCUUACCAAGGCAACGAUGAAUAGCCGACCUGAGAGGGUGAUCGGCCACACUGGAACUGAGACACGGUCCAGACUCCUACGGGAGGCAGCAGUAGGGAAUAUUCCGCAAUGGGCGAAAGCCUGACGGAGCAACGCCGCGUGAGUGAUGAAGGUCUUCGGAUCGUAAAACUCUGUUAUUAGGGAAGAACAUAUGUGUAAGUAACUGUGCACAUCUUGACGGUACCUAAUCAGAAAGCCACGGCUAACUACGUG
Molecule: ribosomal RNA, 497 nt
Filed under: uncultured bacterium
Lineage: Bacteria
Description: partial 16S ribosomal RNA
Rfam family: Bacterial small subunit ribosomal RNA
Source: RNAcentral